This 2452-nucleotide unclassified non-coding RNA is filed under the name Pectinophora gossypiella (pink bollworm). RNAcentral's name for it is "soluble guanylate cyclase 89Db-like". Lineage: Eukaryota; Metazoa; Arthropoda; Insecta; Lepidoptera; Gelechiidae. The record is from RNAcentral.
GGUCCGCGAAAGCCUCCCGUACCUCACGCCCUGGACGCUUCGCGCGAAAACGUUUUUUUUACGGGACCGAAUGCGGGGAGAUUUCCUCAAAGAUAUCUUCUGUUGAAAAGAAUUUAAAUAAGUAUUUUAAAAGUAAUUAAUGUCUAGCUAAGAUAUUGUCAUUAAGAGUAACUAAGUCUUGGAACUCAUUAACUUUUGUUUAUAAGAGAAACGGUCGGGAAAAUUAAGAUCAUUACGAAAUGUACGGGUGGUUGCUUGAAAGUGUGCAGCAUUUCAUCGUGCAAGAAUGCGGGGAAGAAAUAUGGGAGACGAUUCUGCGAGAGGCCGGGGCCCGGAAUACUGUUUUCAGUGCCACACAACAAUACCCAGACGCCCUGAUGCUACGUCUGGCCAGCGCGUUAGCACGUUUUAUCACCAUUGACCCAAAUAGUCCCGCACCCUCGCAACCCAGUAGCCCUGGACCGAGGAAACAGUCCCUCAAGUCCAAACCAUCCUGGAGAAGCAACUCAGUACACACAGACGGAAGGGCGCACUUCAGAUGCCCCUUCACAGCAACCAAUGCCCUCACUGCUGCAACCAGGAAAGAAAUACACGCGUACACAUCCUCCGAAGAGAUAUCAACUCCCACACCAGCGCAAACGUUAUCAGCAGAAAGAAUAAACGAAGGUGUAGAGCUUGAAAUCACUAAUAAGAAUGAAUACAGAGAUUUCAAUCGAAGGAGUCUUGGAUACAAGCUUGAGCAUCACAAGACUAUCGAUGUGUGCGAACCUCUAAGUCCGAGUCCUUCUGAUAAUGUUGAAGAAGAAAAAGAGGAGAAAAGUCCGAAGGCAGAGGAAUCUACCCCUACAUCGCCUACUUCCUCAAAUUCUGAAUGCAGCAAGGUUAGUUCCAUUGCCAAGAGUCCUAUAUCACGGAAGAGUAGCUGUACCUUGGCAUUGGACGUAUACAGAAGGCGAGGAUCGGGAGUGCCUAUCAGACCACGACUGAACAGCCUCACCCAAAUUGUGAGUGGAGAUAAAUUGAAUGCGAUGAAAGAGAAAUUCGGAACUCCUGAAAAAGUGAUGCACUUCUUUGGACGAUGCUUCGUCAAGUUCUUCAGUAAUUAUGGCUACGACACGAUGAUCCGCGCGACGGGGCGCUACUUCUGCACGUUCCUGCAAUCAGUGGACAGCAUCCACCAGCGCAUGCGGUUCACGUUCCCGCGCAUGCGCUCGCCGAGCAUGCAGCUGACGCGUGCGCAUCGACACGGCGCUGAGCUCGUCUAUAGCAGCACCAGGACCGGGUUCACGCACUAUCUUAUGGGUCAGCUGUACGAGAUAGCGGAAGACAUAUUUUCCCUGAAGCUGAAGGUGUCCAUCAUGAAGGAGUCAAUGGAAGGGAGCUACUACGUCGCAGUGCUUCGACUCGAGUUCGAUAACAGCGAUUAUGUGCAAUCCCUAAUGUUGCGCAAGAGUCUGCCGUGUCCGCUGCCGCCGGUGCCGGUGUCUAUUCUGCUGCAGCUGUUCCCCUUCGGAGUGCUGCUUGACCGCAAGAUGAGGGUCGUCAGUGCUGGCUGCAAGUUAAUAGAAGCUUGGGGCGGCCCCUUCAGCCGGAUAGAGAAGCAGCCUGUGUCAGAAAUACUGCGGUUGAGGAAGCCUAAAGUAUCAUUUACUUGGGAUAAGGUGGUAUGCAUGCAGACGAUGAUGUUCGAGUUGGAGCUGAUGCGCUGGCGCACGCGUGUGGGCGGCGGAGACGCACGGCGAGGGUCCCAGGGCGCACGCGCCGUGCUCUUCAAAGGACCCAUCUACCUGCUGGAAGAGAUCGACAGCUUGAUUUUCUUAUGCAGCCCCAUCUUCAACGACCUCGACGAGCUAAGACAAGCGGACCUCUUCCUGGCCGACAUGAACGGCCACGGGCUGUCCAAAGAGAUGCUCUUACAAGGCUGGCAGCACCUCUCCCGACUAGAGCUCCUCUUUGAGAAGGCAGAGAGCCGCAGUCUCUCGCUUGAGAAGUCCUGCCGGCUGCGGGACCAGUGGAAGAAGAAAGGGGAUCAGCUGCUAUACUCCAUGAUACCGAAGAGUGUCGCGUAUCACUUGAGGGCGGGGAAGGAUCCUAUGGAUACUUUUCAGCACUUCGAGUGCGUGACGAUAAUAUUCUGCGCGGUGCAACUGUCGCAGGCGGGCAGCCGCGCUGACGUCAUGCAGACAUACGCGUACAUGAACGAUGUCUACUCCAAGAUGGACCGGCUACUGGACGCGCACCGCGUCUAUAAGGCAUCCACUCGGGGCCGUGUCGCGCAGGCGUGCUAGGGCUAAAGCUGCCUCGGUACUGCCUCGUCGGCGACACCGUCAACACUGCCAGCCGCAUGCAGACCACCUCCGAGCCUGGUAGAAUCCAAAUCUCUGCUCAAACCGCUGCGGAGCUGCCCAGUGGGAAGUUCAGGCUUCGCCGAAGGGGUCUCAUCAAAGUUAAA